This is a non-coding RNA of Oesophagostomum dentatum (nodular worm), 102 nucleotides long. The record is from Rfam. Lineage: Eukaryota; Metazoa; Nematoda; Chromadorea; Rhabditida; Strongylidae.
GUUCAUUCUUGAAUAUGUAUUAAAAUUGGAACGAUACAGAGACGAUUAGCAUGGUCCCUGCAAAAGAAUGACAUGCAAAUUCGCAAAAGGUUCCAAAAUUUU